This 254-nucleotide ribosomal RNA is filed under the name uncultured bacterium. Its description in RNAcentral is "partial 16S ribosomal RNA". It matches the Rfam family "Bacterial small subunit ribosomal RNA", at positions 524 to 776 of the family's 1533-position model. The record is from RNAcentral.
CACGUAGGGUGCGAGCGUUGUCCGGAAUUAUUGGGCGUAAAGAGCUCGUAGGCGGUGUGUCGCGUCGGCCGUGAAAACCUGCAGCUUAACUGUGGGCUUGCGGUCGAUACGGACAUCACUGGAGUUCGGCAGGGGAGACUGGAAUUCCUGGUGUAGCGGUGAAAUGCGCAGAUAUCAGGAGGAACACCGGUGGCGAAGGCGGGUCUCUGGGCCGAUACUGACGCUGAGGAGCGAAGGCGUGGGGAGCGAACAGG